GGAAUAUUGGACAAUGGGCGAAAGCCUGAUCCAGCCAUGCCGCGUGUGUGAAGAAGGUCUUCGGAUUGUAAAGCACUUUAAGUUGGGAGGAAGGGUAUUAACCUAAUACGUUAGUACUUUGACGUUACCGACAGAAUAAGCACCGGCUAACUCUGUGCCAGCAGCCGCGGUAAUACAGAGGGUGCAAGCGUUAAUCGGAAUUACUGGGCGUAAAGCGCGCGUAGGUGGUUUGUUAAGUUGAAUGUGAAAUCCCCGGGCUCAACCUGGGAACUGCAUCCAAAACUGGCAAGCUAGAGUAUGGUAGAGGGUAGUGGAAUUUCCUGUGUAGCGGUGAAAUGCGUAGAUAUAGGAAGGAACACCAGUGGCGAAGGCGACUACCUGGACUGAUACUGACACUGAGGUGCGAAAGCGUGGGGAGCAAACAGGAUUAGAUACCCUAG
This 440-nucleotide ribosomal RNA is filed under the name uncultured Pseudomonas sp. RNAcentral's name for it is "bacterial SSU rRNA". It matches the Rfam family "Bacterial small subunit ribosomal RNA", at positions 358 to 790 of the family's 1533-position model. The record is from RNAcentral. Lineage: Bacteria; Pseudomonadati; Pseudomonadota; Gammaproteobacteria; Pseudomonadales; Pseudomonadaceae.